UUGGGCCUUUUAUGGAAACUUCAUUGGAUGGGUAUGACUAAAGCAUGGACAACCGUGUCGAAGUGUGAUUGGACAAAAAGAGUGUGAUCUAAUACUUAAUACAGUGACUGGGGAAACCUAGCAGGGCCUGCCUGUUCAGAUUCUUCUUGGCCUGUCUGCACAGCACUGCUUCCUCCAGGGUGUGGGACAGGACCCUCUCCAGAAUGAGGGUCUUAUGAACCGUAGUCAGAUUAGAGUCCUGCCUUGGGGCAGGUCAAAGGAGGGCAGGAGUUAUGAACCAAGAACUGCAGACAAACACGUAAAAACAUAGGUUGAUACGUAGAUAGAUGAUAGAUAGAUAGAUAGAUAGAUAGAUAGAUAGAUAGAUAGAUAGAAGUAGUUAGGUAAAUAGAUAGAUGUAGGUAGGUAUGUAGAUAGAUGUAGGUAGGUAGGUAGAUGUAGAUAGGUAGGUAGGUAGAGAGAUAGAUGUAGGUAGAUGUAGUUAGGUAGGUAGGUAGAUGUAGGUAGGUAGAUAGAUGUAGGUACGUAGGUAGAUAGGGAGAUAGAUGUAGGUAGAUGUAGGUAGGUAGGUAGAUGUAGGUAGGUAGGUAGAUGUAGGUAGGUAGGUAGAUAGGUAGAGAGAUAGAUGUAGUUAGAUGUAGGUAGGUAGAUAGAUGUAGGUAGGUAGGUAGAUGUAGGUAGAUAGAUAGAUAGAUGUAGGUAGGUAGAUAGAUAUUAUGAUUUUAGAGUGUUAAAGGGUGGCUCACUCCUGUAAUCCCAGCACUUUGGGAAGCCGAAGCAGGGGGAUUGCUUGAGCCCAGAAGUUUAAGACCAGCCUGGGCAACAAAGUAAAACCUUGACUCUAAAAAGAAAAAAAAAAUUAGCCAGGCAUGGUAUGCACCUGUAGCCUCAGCUACUUGGGAGGCUGAGGUGGGAGAAUCACUUGAGCCAGGGAAGUUGAAGCUGCAUUGAGUCAAGAUCACGCCACUGCACUCCAGUACAGAGCAAGACCCUGUCUGAAAACAAAAGAAAGACUUUUUUUUUUUUUCACAUCAGACAAUGUGCCGACCAUUGUAACAAAGUUUGAGGGUGGCACAUAUCACGCAUGUGCGUGAACACCCAAUCAUCACACUAAUGAACUGCAGAUGAAUCGGAAGACUUUUUUUUCAGCCAUUUUUUUCAGCCUCACAUAUGACACGGGGCAGCCCCCUAUAGAAAUGUCCAGGCCCCGAGGGCCUGGCCGUUGGGCGUCACCCAGUCAGUUAUCCUCCAGCUCCUGGUCUCUUCCUUCGUUCCAGUGUUAAUCGACAAUGCUCUAUGUGCACUGAGUGGUGUCGUGGAGGCUAAAUAGUGGAAAAAGCAAUUCCUGCCCUCAGUCCUCCUAUAUUCUAGGUUGGCAAAGAAGAGAGAAGAGAAGAGAAGCCAUCCUAAAAAAUAACAGCACUGCGAGGCCAGGUUAUGGAGCGAGCUCAGUCAGUGCUUAAGGCUUCGAAUGUAAAAGGACCC
RNAcentral lists this long non-coding RNA (1485 nucleotides) under Homo sapiens (human). RNAcentral describes it as "HSALNT0273287". Lineage: Eukaryota; Metazoa; Chordata; Mammalia; Primates; Hominidae. The record is from RNAcentral.